Triplophysa dalaica is the source of this 3151-nucleotide long non-coding RNA. RefSeq lists it as uncharacterized. The record is from RefSeq and is a predicted model, not a curated record. Lineage: Eukaryota; Metazoa; Chordata; Actinopteri; Cypriniformes; Nemacheilidae. The transcript has 3 exons.
UGUUCGCAUUAGGUUUGAAAGUAACGUUACAAUCUAGCAUCGUUAGCUUUUUAUAGCUAGUCUGUAACGUUAUGCCCACGUUGUUCUAAUUUACAGCUUUUUAAUCAUUUAAACUUCAUUUUUGGUCAACAUUUCCCUUUGAAAUCUCUGACUCGUGUGAGUCAUUUAGUUCAGUAACUUACGCAUCUUGAUAUUAGUUUAAGGUUGACACGAGAGAGCGUCGUGUCAAAAGCAAACAUCCAGCAAUUUUUUUAUUUUAAAUACCGCUAAUGUUCGGUGAGGGAACUUAGUUUUAAUAGUCUUUUAGACGAGAAUGUAGUUGUUAAGAACACAAAUACGUGAUUUAUAUAUAAACAUAACGCCUCUUUGAGAAUUUGUUAAGACGCUGUCGGAGGUGUGAGCAUCAGGCUGUCGUGGCUCCGCUGAGAGCAGCUCUAUCUCGGCCAUUGCCUCGGGAGUAGCCGCUCUUAUAACGUUAGUGGUUAACCGUGAGAUAUAAUUUAUUUUGGGUAUAUGAGACGAACAAUUGUUGCUCUUUUUAGACUUCUACUUAUUCCCGAGUGUGUCGAAUUAGUUAAGAGUUGUGUUAACGUUUAUAAUAUUAUUUUUUAAGACUGUAUUUCACUUUCUGUACUAUAUCCCACUCUUCUUUUUCCCCCACACUGACAGGAUGCAGAAUAACAGCUAAUAUUAAUGGAUCAUUCUAUUCAAGAGAAAGUCAACUGGAACGUGGAUGUUUUCAUAACAGGCUUAAAGAUGAACAAAUUGAUAAAGAAACCCUCCUGCUGAACAUCCACUUCCAAAAGUGCACGCCACACUGUUGUCUACAACUACUAGGAAAAGAAUCCUCUUUAGUAAGACUGCUCCGUGGAUAUGUCAGGUUAAGCAGUGCUGAAACCGAAAGAACUAACGCUCUUUAAAAUGUUUUGUGAGUUUAUAUGAAGAGGAAAGUUACGGUGUCCCUUUUUCACAUCCAUAACGCUUGUUUAUUUCUUUUUUUAUAGAAAACUUGUGCAUAGACUGAUAUUUUAUCAUAUAAAUGCGGUUCUAUCAACAAGGGUUUAGUAAAAUACUUUUUAUAGUGUUUUUAUGUCGCAUCCAUAACGCUGGAAUUGACCUAAAGCACUUUACUCGUGCCACUUUGUUAACUGUAUAUGAAUUUUUGAAGUGUUAAGUUGUCUAACUAUUUAUAUUUACUUGUGCCACUUUAAUAACCUUGUUAAAUGUAUAUGUUAAAAUCUAAACUAAUGUAAUUUAUUGAAGUUAAUUUUCCUUAAAUAUGUAUAAACAUACAUUUCAUCAAAGUGUUUUAUAUGCCAUUUUAUUGUUCAUUGAGCAUAACAUAUUGCAUGUUUUUAUGAAUUCCUUUUGUCUUGCAUUUUGAUCCUUAAUAAAACUUUUGAUUCUUACUGAUGCCUCGAGUAUUUCUCUGUGAUUUUGUUAUUAUUAUUUUUAAACAUUUCGGGUUUGUUUUAAACCAGCAAUGUAAUUUUUAAGCAAAAGUUGAUUUAAAUAAAACAACCCAGCAUGUUGGGUCAAAGAUAUAACCCAACUGGCUGGGUUAAAAUAACCCAACGCUGGGUUUGUCCAUAUUUGACCCAACGUUGGGUUACCAAAAUAACCCAAAUUGGGUUGUUUUAACCCAGCCUUUUUUUAGAGUGUAGCUAGUCUGUAACGUUAUGCCCACGUUGUUUCUAAUUUACAGCUUUUUAAUCAUUUAAACUUCCUUUUUGGUGAACAUUUCCUCUGAAAUGUGUGACUUGUGUGAGGAAUUUAGUUCAGUAAUUUACGCAACUUGAUAUUAGUUUAAGGUCGACACGAGAGCGUCGUGUCAAAAGCAAACAUCCAGCUCAUUUUUUUUUAUAAAUACCGCUAAUGUUCGGUGACGGAACUUAGAUUUAAGAGUCUUUUAGACGAGAAUGUUGUUGUUAAGAACUCAAAUACGUGAUUUAUAUAUAAACAUAACGCCUCUUUGAGAUUUUGUUAAGACGCUGUCGGAGGUGUGAGCUUCAGGAUGUCAGCGGUCGUGUCUCCGUGGAGAGCAGCUCUGUCUCGGCCAUUGCUUCGGGAAUAGCCGCUGGCUCUUAUAACGUUAAUGGUUAACAAUGCGAUAUAGUUAAUUUUGGGUAUAUGAGACGAACAAUUGUUGCUCUUUUUAGACUUAUACUUAUUCCCUAGUGUGUCGAAUUAGUGAAGGGUUGUUUUAACGUUUAUAAUAUUAUUUUUUAAGACUGUAUUUCGCUUUCUGUACUAGAGCCCACUCUUCUUUUUUCCCCCACUGACAGGUUGCAGAAUAACAGCUAAUAUUAAUGGAUCAUUCUAUUCAAGAGAAUGUCAACUGGAACUUGGGUGUUUUCAUAACAGGCUUAAAGAUGAACAAAUUGAUAAAGAAACCCUCCUGCUGGACAUCCACUUCCAAAAGUGCACACCACACUGUUGUCUACAACUCCCAGGAAAAGAAUCCUCUCUAGUAAGACUGCUCCAUGGAUAUUUUAGGUUAAGCAGUGCUGAAACCGAAAGAACUAACACUAUUUAAAAUGUUUUGUGAGUUUAUAUGAAGAGGAAAGUUACGGUGUCCCUUUUUCACAUCCAUAACGCUUGUUUAUUUCUUUUUUUAUAGAAAACUUGUGCAUAGACUUAUAUUUUAUCAUAUAAAUGAGGUUCUAUCAACAAGGGUUUAGUAAAAUACUUUUUAUAGUGUUUUGAAGUGUUAAGUUGUCUAACUAUUUAUAUUUACUUGUGCCACUUUAAUAACCUUUUUAAAUGUAUGUUAAAAUCUAAACUAAUGUAAUUUAUUGAAGUUAAUUUUCUUUAAAUAUGUAUAAACAUACAUUUCAUCAAAGUGUUUUAUAUGCCAUUUUAUUGUUCAUUGAGCAUAACAUAUUGCAUGUUUUUAUGAAUUCCUUUUGUCUUGCAUUUUGAUCCUUAAUAAAACUAUUGAUUCUUACUGAUGCCUCGAGUAUUUCUCUGAUUUUGUUAUUAUUUUUAAACAUUUCGGGUUUGUUUUAAACCAUCAAUGUAAUUUUUAAGCAAAAGUUGAUUUAAAUAAAACAACCCAGCAUGUUGGGUCAAAGAUUUAACCCAACUGGCUGGGUUAAAAUAACCCAACGCUGGGUUUGUCCAUAUUUGACCCAAUGUUGGGUUACCAAAA